GGAGUCUGGGCCGUGUCUCAGUCCCAGUGUGGCCGAUCACCCUCUCAGGUCGGCUAUGUAUCGUCGCCUUGGUGAGCCGUUACCUCACCAACUAGCUAAUACAACGCAGGUCCAUCUACUAGUGAAGCAAUUGCUCCUUUCAAGCAUCUAACAUGGGUUAAAUGCUGUUAUGCGGUAUUAGCUAUCGUUUCCAAUAGUUAUCCCCCGCUAGUAGGCAGGUUACCUACGCGUUACUCACCCGUUCGCAACUCUUCCAACUUUAGCAAGCUAAAGUCUUCAGCGUUCUACUUGCAUGUAUUAGGCACGCCGCCAGCGUCGUCCUCGAGCCACUGAUCAAACUACU
RNAcentral lists this ribosomal RNA (343 nucleotides) under uncultured Streptococcaceae bacterium. Its description in RNAcentral is "partial 16S ribosomal RNA". The record is from RNAcentral. Lineage: Bacteria; Bacillati; Bacillota; Bacilli; Lactobacillales; Streptococcaceae.